ACGAACGCUAGCGGCGUGCCUAAUGUAUGCAAGUCGAGCGGGGUAACGGGCUUCGGCCUGUUAUUCAGCGGCAAACGGUUGAGUAACACGUAGGCAACCUGCCCCAGAGACGGGGAUAGCCCGCCGAAAGGCGGAUUAAUACCGGAUGUGGCCGGAGGAGACCUCUCCUUCGUGCUAAAGGGAGCAAUCCGCUCUGGGAUGGGCCUGCGGCCUAUCAGCUUGUUGGUGGGGUAACGGCCUACCAAGGCGACGACGGGUAGCUGGUCUGAGAGGAUGGUCAGCCAGACAGGGACUGAGACACGGCCCUGACUCCUUUGGGGGGCAGCAAUGAGGGAUAUUGCACAAUGGGGGCAACCCUGAUGCAGCGACGCCGCGUGGGUGACGAAGUCUUUCGGGAUGUAAAGCCCUUUUCUCGGGGAAGAGCACGGACGGUACCCGAGGAAUAAGCCCCGGCUAACUACGU
This 463-nucleotide ribosomal RNA is filed under the name uncultured bacterium. Its description in RNAcentral is "bacterial SSU rRNA". It matches the Rfam family "Bacterial small subunit ribosomal RNA", at positions 29 to 506 of the family's 1533-position model. The record is from RNAcentral.